CCUGACUAUCCAGUUGUGGUCAGAGAGAAGAUAGCACCGUCAGAGUUCCAGUUAUCUCAUUUUUUCAGUGACUGUACACUAGCUGGUACUAUUUAUCAAAGUGGCAAAAUCCGAAGCAACACAGUAAAUUGGUUUCAACAUGCAGGUCAAUCAAACGCAGCACUAUUCAGCUUCAGUAUCACAAAAUGAUUGUAAUUAUAAUCACAGCUGACAAACAUUUCUCCAUCUGUGUGUGCUAACGUCAUAAUAAUUACCCUUGUCAUGCUAAAUGUGUAAUUUGGCAACACAAAUCACGGCUUUUACCUCUGCUGACAGCUAAAAUGAUAAAGAUUCAGUAAAAGCAUGGCAGAGCACCUUCCAGUUCACUUCCACUAUUUGUAUAGAAAGACUCCCCCAUCCGACAACAGAGACACAAGAAACUCCUUUCUUUUCACUAAACUCUCUGUUCUCAGAAAUCAUAUCAAAAAGCUUCUCUCGCAGUGCAGGCCCUCCAGGGUUCUGAUGUCACUUCCACUGUAACACUCCGCUGAUGACUGACAUAUGCUUCACAUGAGUGUGAAGAGAAAAAAAAAAGGAAAACAAAAAAAUCCUACACGUUACACACACACCCUUUUUGUUUUAGACGACAUUUCCGACUUUACGCUAACUUGUUUUGUCAAAACAAUUCCCGAAGAAAUUAAACGACACAUUACUCAAGUCAAACCUGAAACCUAGAUCUGCCACAACAAACCUAAUCCACUUUGAGCAGCCUCUGUGUUGUGGUGUCCUCGGAGUGUGUGUGUUUCUCUUGAAACAUGACUUAGGUUUCAGGAAGUUUUAGGCCUGGAGUCAGUCAUCAAGGUUUGCGGUGGUGGUGGUGGUUGGGGGGGGCACAAAAACAUGGCCUCUGACGGCACUGAUAAUGAUCAUGAGCAAGUCCCUUUGAAGAACUUUCACUGAGUGUGAACGAGAUGUAAAAUUUGUGAAUGAAUUACCAAAAACAGGGGGCAUGUGAGUGGAAGGAGCAAAAUAUACAUUAAAUGUUUUCUUUUAUACUCAAAAUUAAAAUAAUACACCCCCACCUGCCCCAAAAAUAAUACUAAUA
Molecule: long non-coding RNA, 1084 nt
Organism: Astatotilapia calliptera (eastern happy)
Lineage: Eukaryota; Metazoa; Chordata; Actinopteri; Cichliformes; Cichlidae
Source: Ensembl